RNAcentral lists this ribosomal RNA (293 nucleotides) under uncultured bacterium. RNAcentral's name for it is "partial 16S ribosomal RNA". It matches the Rfam family "Archaeal small subunit ribosomal RNA", at positions 455 to 747 of the family's 1478-position model. The record is from RNAcentral.
GUGCCAGCCGCCGCGGUAAUACCGGCAGCCCGAGUGAUGGCCGAUCUUAUUGGGCCUAAAGCGUCCGUAGCUGGCCGCGCAAGUCCAUCGGAAAAUCCACCCGCCCAACGGGUGGGCGUCCGGUGGAAACUGCGUGGCUUGGGACCGGAAGGCGCGACGGGUACGUCCGGGGUAGGAGUGAAAUCCCGUAAUCCUGGACGGACCACCAAUGGGGAAACCACGUCGAGAGACCGGACCCGACAGUGAGGGACGAAAGCCAGGGUCUCGAACCGGAUUAGAUACCCCUGUAGUCC